UGGGGAAUAUUGGACAAUGGGCGAAAGCCUGAUCCAGCCAUGCCGCGUGUGUGAAGAAGGUCUUCGGAUUGUAAAGCACCUUAAGUUGGGAGGAAGGGCAUUAACCUAAUACGUUAGUGUUUUGACGUUACCGACAGAAUAAGCACCGGCUAACUCUGUGCCAGCAGCCGCGGUAAUACAGAGGGUGCAAGCGUUAAUCGGAAUUACUGGGCGUAAAGCGCGCGUAGGUGGUUUGUUAAGUUGGAUGUGAAAUCCCCGGGCUCAACCUGGGAACUGCAUUCAAAACUGACUGACUAGAGUAUGGUAGAGGGUGGUGGAAUUUCCUGUGUAGCGGUGAAAUGCGUAGAUAUAGGAAGGAACACCAGUGGCGAAGGCGACCACCUGGACUAAUACUGACACUGAGGUGCGAAAGCGUGGGGAGCAAACA
RNAcentral lists this ribosomal RNA (427 nucleotides) under uncultured bacterium. RNAcentral's name for it is "partial 16S ribosomal RNA". It matches the Rfam family "Bacterial small subunit ribosomal RNA", at positions 355 to 774 of the family's 1533-position model. The record is from RNAcentral.